Molecule: long non-coding RNA, 1385 nt
Organism: Oncorhynchus keta (chum salmon)
Lineage: Eukaryota; Metazoa; Chordata; Actinopteri; Salmoniformes; Salmonidae
Exons: 3
Source: RefSeq, a predicted model, not a curated record
UUACUUGUCUACAAGAAGACAGUCUGAACCAAUAUAAACAGGAGACAAGGACCACAUUUGUUGUAAAAAAAAUGAUAAAAAUGAUAAACCGUCUGCACAGAAGGGUGAGUUCGAAUUUAAUCAAGGAGCGAUAUGAAUCUAGGUCGUUAGUAAACUAGAUAGCAAGCUAGCAAACUCCGUUGACUAGUAACGUUAGUUAGAUUUAUUUAAUUUAUUUAUUUAACCAGGUAGGCAAGUUGAGAACAAGUUCUGUAAAGAAUUGCUAUUUUCUUAUGCAAGUGAUCAGCCUACUGCUAAAUACAUGGCUACAACUCACAGUAAAGCCUGUGGGGCCCUCUACAGGAUAACUCACGCACACACACCCAUAACUGCUAGGCCAGCGCACACACCAAAUUUCCCCCUUUAGCUGAACAUUGUGUGACGGCGGGAUUCUAGAGUGACGGACGGCCCAGCUGAGCCAAUGCAAGAAGACUACCUCCAGUGUGAACCAAUCCGAAGAAUCGAACUUCCAGAAUCAACGUACUUUCUGUUUUGUAUAAAUUGUAUUGUACCGGUUCACUCUUUCUCUUUUCCUGCUGUUCUGUGCGAGCGAAUGGGAGAGCCGUAUUUACGUGUACCAGAUAUUCUCACUCUGAAUAAACUGUCGCUUGUCGUACAAUUUUAACACCUUGUCUGAAUCGAUCCUUUACCGGCUCAUCCUUCUAAUAUCCUUUUAUCAACAGUUCUCAUUUACAAUUGCGACCUGGCCAAGAUAAAGCAAAGCAGUUCGACAUAUACAACAACACAGAGUUACACAUGGAGUAAAACAAACAGUCAAUAAUAAUACAGUAGAAACAAGUCUAUAUACGAUAUCUCGCAUCAUGAAAAAACUUGCAUUGGGAACUAAAAUAUGUUCCCCAUGACGGAACCCCCUUCCUGGUGGUUGGGAGGAAAACCUACGCCUGCCACCAGGGCGAGGAUAAACAUGCGAGUGAUAAGAAGAGGGAAGCAGAAAUGUGUCUGGACUGUGCCUACCUGAAGCCUACCUGGACUGUGGCUGAGGACCCUGGGCAUGCCUACCCAUAGCCCCUCCCCACACUCCCUAGCAUGCUUGUACCUAAGCUAAAUACUGAGUAUUCCAUCUCACCCUCUUCCUCUCCUCUUCUGUCCUCUCCUCCCCUAAGCCCAGUCCUGGGCACAAACUAUUUUAUAUUGAAUUUAUAUUGAGCAUGCUUUUUUGUCUAGGACUAGGUGUAAUCUGAGUCUGGGAAACCAGUCCAUUGUCUAGACAAUGAGAUUAUUCCAGAAUACUAUCAAAAUAAAGAUUGUUUUCUAUGAUUGUUCUAUGGUACAUUUAACAUUUCCAUUCUACAAUAUGGCCUUUGACAAAGAAAACUCUCUCAAAA